GACGAACGCUGGCGGCGUGCUUAACACAUGCAAGUCGAACGGAAAGGCCCUGCUUUUGUGGGGUGCUCGAGUGGCGAACGGGUGAGUAACACGUGAGUAACCUGCCCUUGACUUUGGGAUAACUUCAGGAAACUGGGGCUAAUACCGGAUAGGAGCUCCUGCUGCAUGGUGGGGGUUGGAAAGUUUCGGCGGUUGGGGAUGGACUCGCGGCUUAUCAGCUUGUUGGUGGGGUAGUGGCUUACCAAGGCUUUGACGGGUAGCCGGCCUGGGAGGGUGACCGGCCACAUUGGGACUGAGAGACGGACCAGACUCCUACGGGAGGCAGCAGUGGGGAAUAUUGCACAAUGGGCGGAAGCCUGAUGCAGCAACGCCGCGUGCGGGAUGACGGCCUUCGGGUUGUAAACCGCUUUCGCCUGUGACGAAGCGUGAGUGACGGUAAUGGGUAAAGAAGCACCGGCUAACUACGUG
This 468-nucleotide ribosomal RNA is filed under the name uncultured bacterium. RNAcentral describes it as "partial 16S ribosomal RNA". It matches the Rfam family "Bacterial small subunit ribosomal RNA", at positions 28 to 507 of the family's 1533-position model. The record is from RNAcentral.